GGACAUUGACCACAGCCAAGAGAUUGAUGGUCGGGAAUGGACAGGCCAAGAGGACCUCCGUUAAGUUAAGGCACCAUUCACCGUUAAUGAAAAAGAGUUACAGUAAAUCAUCUUAUGGACUAAUCUAUUAGCAAUAAUGAAUUCACACUGGCACGUUUAACCUUAGUUUUGCAAUUCAUUAUAUCUGAGAUUAACAAGGGAUGGAAUUUAAGUGAACUGUCUGCUGGGAAUUAUGUCGAAGGGGCUCGUUGUCAAUCACUGUAUUGUGUUCCAAUGGCUCCCCAUUUAGACAAAGAGGAAUUGGCUUGCCCAUUUACUGCUUCUCCUCGCUCUGCUAAGAUGGUUAACUCUUCAUUACCCGAAUUAAAGGCAUCCAUCUCCUCUGGCUUCUGCCCCAUUGAAAUGACCUCUACCUGUCAAAACUUUAAUGUACGCCGCUUCAGUGAUGGAUGAUACCCCCAACCCCAUUGUCAAAAUUAUCAAGUGACUGUCCAACCCACUCCAAUUCAUCUCUAUCUCUUGGCCGGCGCCACUGGCCAUGAUUUAACAAUUGCGUCACACGUGCUAAUUUCAUCUCAUUGAAAUUAGAAACAACCUCUUAAUUAAAUGCCUAUAAUUGUUGGUAGAGUUUACAGGGAUUGCCCCCAAAGCUUUUAACACAGCUUUGUGAAAGCAGAUUGUUAAUAUUCCUAUAUGACAUGUUGUUUCAGGGCUCUUUCAAGGCUCCAACAGACACUAGAGAGGGGAUACAGGAUCCAUAUACUGUGUGAUCCACCAGGAAGAAAAGAAAGAAAAACAGGUUGAUCUGGUUAAAAAGCAGAACGUUUUAACAGUACAGUGACGGAUAAAGCAUCCUGGUGUUUGUAGUCAUAGUAUGAAUACACUUACAAUUACAAAAUGGUGGCCCUUGAUUAAAUCAAUGCCUCCAUGCAAAUGAUUAACUAAGGUGUACCAAUCAUGUUUUUUUUUUAUGUUCAAGAUUGGCACAAUGCCUAACUGUUUGUGAGGGAACCUUUGUUGUCAGACAAACAUAGCACUCUCUGUCUCAACUUAGUUUUUCCCUAUUUGCAUCACCUUUAGACAAAUGUAAAUAUUCAAGCACAUGCUAGCCGUCAUCCAUCAUGCAUGGUAGAAGUGGUCCCAGGCUUGUCUGACCUCUUGUUCCCCCGUUUCUCUCCCAUGACAGAUGCGGGGAGCACUCCAUGCACAGCUCACUUCCUGAAAAAGAGAGUUAUGGCUUCCUGGGAGAGGCAUGCUGGAGGCUGAGACGUCCCCAGGAGCCAAGAGGAAUCAGAAGGAGUAGACAGAGGACCUGAGCCCUAGGACCAUGCCUCACAACUUCCUAGCCUGAAGACUCCUUGCUGUCCCCAGUCCACCUGGCCCUGCUGCUGCACCAGUUUUAACUGUUCUGCCUGCGGCUAUGGAACCCUGACCUGUUCACCGGACCAGCUACCUGUCCCAGACCUGCUGUUUUCAACUUUCAAGAGACAGCAGGAGUGGUAGAGAUACUCUGAAUAUUUGGCUAUGAAAAGCCAACUGACAUUUACUCCUGAGGUGCUGACCUGUUGCACCCUCGACAACCACUGUGAUUAUUAUUAUUUGACCCUGCUGGUCAUCUAUGAACAUUUGAACAUCUUGGCCAUGUUCUGUUAUAAUCUCCACCCGGCACAGCCAGAAGAAGACUGGCCACCCCUCAUAGCCUGGUUCCUCUCUAGGUUUCUUCCUAGGUUCUGGCCUUUCUAGGGAGUUUUUCCCAGACACCGUGCUUCUACACCUGCAUUGCUUGCUGUUUGGGGUUUUAGGCUGGGUUUCUGUACAGCACUUUGUGACAUCAGCUGAUGUAAGAAUGGCUUUAUAAAUACAUUUGAUUGAUUGAUUGAUGCGACAAGAGGUCUCUUCACAGUCCCGAAGUCCAGAACAGACUAUGGAAGGCGCACAGUACUACAUAGAGCCAUGACUACAUAGAACUCUAUUCCAUAUCAAGUAACUGAUGCAAGCAGUAAAUUUGAUUUAAAAAACAGAUACAAAUACAACAGAAGGGACUGUGAAGCAUCACAAACAUAGGCACAGACACAUGCAUACACACACACGAUAACAUACGCACUAUACACACACGUACACAUGGAUUUUGUAUUGUAGAUAUGUGGGAGUGGUAGAGUUGGGGUCCAGAGUAUGUUGUGAAAUCUAUGAAUGUAUUGUAAUAUUUAAAAAAUUGUAUAACUGCCUUAAUCCUUAUGUGAUGUUCAUGUAUUUGUUAUUUACCUCAAUGUUCGCCGAUCUGAUGGACCCACAACAUUAUUGGGUUUUUAAAACAAUAAAGUCAUAACAAUUUACAUACAAAUA
Molecule: long non-coding RNA, 2343 nt
Organism: Salvelinus fontinalis (brook trout)
Lineage: Eukaryota; Metazoa; Chordata; Actinopteri; Salmoniformes; Salmonidae
Exons: 2
Source: RefSeq, a predicted model, not a curated record